RNAcentral lists this ribosomal RNA (136 nucleotides) under Phyllosticta sp. SPW-2019a. RNAcentral describes it as "partial 18S ribosomal RNA". It matches the Rfam family "Eukaryotic small subunit ribosomal RNA", at positions 1652 to 1785 of the family's 1831-position model. The record is from RNAcentral. Lineage: Eukaryota; Fungi; Ascomycota; Dothideomycetes; Botryosphaeriales; Phyllostictaceae.
CCUGCCCUUUGUACACACCGCCCGUCGCUACUACCGAUUGAAUGGCUUAGUGAGGCCUUCGGACUGGCUCAGGGAGGUCGGCAACGACCACCCAGAGCCGGAAAGUUCGUCAAACUACGUCAUUUAGAGGAAGUAA